CAAGAGUUAUGGUUGCUAAUUUUUAGCGCCAACUCCCACCCAUUGUGUACCAACUUUGUUUGUCUUUGGCGAAGCGAUUUUUGCUUCAUCGCUUAAACCACUGACAGCGAUACUGCUGUGAGUGAGUCUUUGCCAAAGUUUUUUUUAAAACUCUAUACUUUAUAGUCGUCCGAGUUUAUUUUUUGAAUAAAUCA
Molecule: unclassified non-coding RNA, 194 nt
Filed under: uncultured fungus
Lineage: Eukaryota; Fungi
Description: sequence contains ITS1
Source: RNAcentral